GCCGCGGUAAUACGUAGGUGGCAAGCGUUAUCCGGAAUUACUGGGCGUAAAGCGCACGCAGGCGGUCUCUUAAGUUUGACGUGAAAGCUCCCGGCUUAACUGGGAGAGGUCGUUGAAGACUGGGAGACUUGAGGCAAUGAGAGGGGUGUAGAAUUCCUGGUGUAGUGGUGGAAUGCGUAGAUAUCAGGAGGAAUACCAGUGGCGAAAGCGGCACCCUAGCGUUGUUCUGACGCUCAUGUGCGAAAGCGUGGGGAGCGAACGG
This 262-nucleotide ribosomal RNA is filed under the name uncultured bacterium. RNAcentral describes it as "partial 16S ribosomal RNA". It matches the Rfam family "Bacterial small subunit ribosomal RNA", at positions 514 to 775 of the family's 1533-position model. The record is from RNAcentral.